RNAcentral lists this ribosomal RNA (254 nucleotides) under uncultured bacterium. RNAcentral describes it as "partial 16S ribosomal RNA". It matches the Rfam family "Bacterial small subunit ribosomal RNA", at positions 524 to 776 of the family's 1533-position model. The record is from RNAcentral.
UACGUAGGGUGCGAGCGUUGUCCGGAAUUAUUGGGCGUAAAGAGCUCGUAGGCGGUGUGUCACGUCGGCCGUGAAAACCUGCAGCUUAACUGUGGGCGUGCGGUCGAUACGGGCAUCACUGGAGUUCGGCAGGGGAGACUGGAAUUCCUGGUGUAGCGGUGAAAUGCGCAGAUAUCAGGAGGAACACCGGUGGCGAAGGCGGGUCUCUGGGCCGGUACUGACGCUGAGACGCGAAAGCGUGGGGAGCGAACAGG